This 284-nucleotide long non-coding RNA is filed under the name Anser brachyrhynchus (Pink-footed goose). RNAcentral's name for it is "lncRNA (ENSABRG00000012561.1)". The record is from RNAcentral. Lineage: Eukaryota; Metazoa; Chordata; Aves; Anseriformes; Anatidae.
AAAAAAGUCAGCUGAGAAUAGCAUAAGGUACCCACUGCAUGUGGAAAAAGCAACUCCCCAUCUGAGAGUCACCCAGCACAUAAUCCAGUGGUGGUGACCAAAGGGAUGAUGUCCUGAAUGCUGUGACACCAAUAAAGCUGGAUGCAGGAGAUGAAUGCAUUCAACCACAAGCUGUGCUCCUUGCUACUGCUGUUGUUCUUGGCCUCCGGAAACACAGAAACUCAUUGUCUACUCUACUGAAUUAGGAUAGAAGAGGCACUCCUUUUACAGCUUUACAGAGGCAC